GGACCCGCACAAGCGGUGGAGCAUGUGGUUUAAUUCGAUGCAACGCGAAAAACCUUACCUACUCUUGACAUACUUGGGAGCUCUUGUAAUGAGAGUGUGCCUUAUGGAACCAAGAUACAGGUGCUGCAUGGCUGUCGUCAGCUCGUGUCGUGAGAUGUUCCGUUAAGUCGGAUAACGAGCGCAACCCUUACCCUUAUUUGCCAGCGAUUCGGUCGGGAACUAUAAGGGGACUGCCGGUGAUAAACCGGAGGAAGGUGAGGACGACGUCAAGUCAUCAUGGCCCUUACGAGUAGGGCUACACACGUGCUACAAUGCUACGGACAAAGAGCAGCAAGUUCGCGAGGACAAGCA
RNAcentral lists this ribosomal RNA (351 nucleotides) under uncultured bacterium. Its description in RNAcentral is "bacterial SSU rRNA". It matches the Rfam family "Bacterial small subunit ribosomal RNA", at positions 917 to 1269 of the family's 1533-position model. The record is from RNAcentral.